This 445-nucleotide ribosomal RNA is filed under the name uncultured Bryobacterales bacterium. RNAcentral's name for it is "bacterial SSU rRNA". It matches the Rfam family "Bacterial small subunit ribosomal RNA", at positions 335 to 798 of the family's 1533-position model. The record is from RNAcentral. Lineage: Bacteria; Pseudomonadati; Acidobacteriota; Terriglobia; Bryobacterales.
CACCUACGGGGGGCUGCAGUGGGGAAUCUUGCACAAUGGGGGAAACCCUGAUGCAGCGACGCCGCGUGAGCGAUGAAGCCCUUCGGGGUGUAAAGCUCUUUCGACGGGAACGAUAAUGACGGUACCCGGAGAAGAAGCUGCGGCUAACUACGUGCCAGCAGCCGCGGUAAUACGUAGGCAGCAAGCGUUGUUCGGAGUUACUGGGCGUAAAGAGUGCGUAGGCGGUGCCCUAAGUCUGUCGUGAAAUCUCCCGGCUUAACUGGGAGGGUGCGGUGGAAACUGGGGUGCUUGAGUGUGGGAGAGGUAAGCGGAAUUCCUGGUGUAGCGGUGAAAUGCGUAGAUAUCAGGAGGAACACCGGUGGUGUAGACGGCUUACUGGACCAUGACUGACGCUGAGGCACGAAAGCGUGGGUAGCAAACAGGAUUAGAUACCCUAGUAGUCGGG